Long non-coding RNA from Carassius auratus (goldfish), 358 nucleotides. RefSeq lists it as uncharacterized. The record is from RefSeq and is a predicted model, not a curated record. NCBI's taxonomy places the organism in Eukaryota, Metazoa, Chordata, Actinopteri, Cypriniformes, Cyprinidae. The transcript is spliced from 2 exons.
CGCACUUGUGGUUCGUUUAGAUGGCCGCUGGAGGAGGGAGGGGUGGAAGCGGGGGGUGUGGCAGCUGUAGCGCCCCCUGCUGCCGCAGCUGAGGUACUGGCUCCAUCUUCAGGGUGCUGCUGAAUGGGCCGCGUCCAGGUGGUGCUGCGGUUGUUGUGGUUGACGUAGUAUGUUCGUCCCUUGGGGUCUCUGCGUUCCUCCCAGCCUGGCGGAAGGCCUGGUGUGGUCAAGGCGUAGGAGGCCGAUGGAGACUAAAUAGAGUUAAACGAAAAUUUUGAAUAUUCACAAAACAAAGAAGAGACUUGGUGAUAUUAAAAUCUGUAUCACUAGCCGCGUUUCCGAUGUCGGGCCAAAGCGG